UGAGGAAUAUUGGUCAAUGGGCGCAAGCCUGAACCAGCCAUCCCGCGUGCAGGAAGACGGCCCUAUGGGUUGUAAACUGCUUUUCCAGGGGGAGAAUUUUUCUGUCGUGACAGGAAUUGACGGUACCCUGGGAAUAAGCAUCGGCUAACUCCGUGCCAGCAUCCGCGGUAAUACGGAGGAUGCGAGCGUUAUCCGGAUUUAUUGGGUUUAAAGGGUGCGUAGGCGGAUAGAUAAGUCAGUGGUGAACACCUGCAGCUUAACUGUAGACUGGCCGUUGAUACUGGCAGUCUUGAGUAUGGUCAAGGUAGGCGGAAUGUCUAAUGUAGCGGUGAAAUGCUUAGAUAUUACACAGAACACCGAGUGCGAAGGCAGCUUGCUGGGCCAUUACUGACGCUGAUGCACGAAAGCGUGGGGAUCGAACA
RNAcentral lists this ribosomal RNA (422 nucleotides) under uncultured prokaryote. RNAcentral describes it as "bacterial SSU rRNA". It matches the Rfam family "Bacterial small subunit ribosomal RNA", at positions 355 to 774 of the family's 1533-position model. The record is from RNAcentral.